This 5271-nucleotide ribosomal RNA is filed under the name Triticum aestivum (bread wheat). RNAcentral's name for it is "partial small subunit ribosomal RNA". Lineage: Eukaryota; Viridiplantae; Streptophyta; Magnoliopsida; Poales; Poaceae. The record is from RNAcentral.
AUGCUCAUGAGAUCGGCACCCGCAUCAAUAAGCUCAAUCAGAGGCUUGACUCCAUCAAGGAGCGAAGUGCUGCUUUCAACUUCCUAUGAGGAUCGUCAUAGAAGCAAUGCCCAUGCCUCCCAGCAUGGUAAUCCAAGCCGGGAGACGACAGGGGACUUUGACCGGUUGGCUGUGGUCGGGGAGAAGAUUGAAGAAGAUACAAGAGCACUGGUGGCCCAGAUCAUGCAGACAAGUGAGGACGUCAGCAACAACAUCAUGGUGCUCGCCAUAGUAGGUGUUGGCGGUAUUGGCAACACCACUCUCGCACAGAAGGUCUUCAAUGAUGAGGCAAUCCAAGGUGAGUUCAGCAAAAAGAUAUGGUUGAGCGUCAACCAAAACUUCAGUGAGGUUGAGUUGUUGAAAAGAACCAUUAUUGAAGCCGGAGGAGAUGCCCAACCUGCUGGAAAUGCAAAAGCCACGCUUAACCGAACCCUCAAGGACGCCUUGAGGGGCCACAAGACCUUAUUGGUAAUGGACGAUGUGUGGAACCAUGAAGCAUGGGAGGGUGUGCUCAAAAUACCCUUAGUCAAUGUUGUGGCCGCAGGCAGCCGAGUCCUCAUCACAACAAGAGACGUAGCUGUUGCCCGAGGGAUGACAGCCGCAUGGCCCUACCACCAUGUCAACAUAUUAGCUCCUGGUGAUGCUUGGUCAUUGCUCAAGAAGCAGGUACUUUCAACUGAGAUAGAUGAAGACCACAUCAGUAUGCUGAAGGAUAUUGGAUUUAGAAUUAUAGAAAAAUGUGGUGGUCUACCACUUGCCAUCAAAGUAAUGGGGGGCCUCUUGCGUCAAAGAGGGGGCCUACGUUCUCACUGGCAGCAGGUUUUGGAUGAUUCUAAAUGGUCCAUAACUAAAAUGCCCCAAGAGCUCAACUAUGCAGUAUACUUGAGCUAUGAAGAUAUGCCUCCUUAUUUGAAGCAGUGCUUUAUUUACUUUUCUCUUCUUCCUAAAAGAACUGCGUUUAGUGUACAUCAAGUCAUUGCCUUGUGGAUUAGUGAAGGAAUUGUUCAUGGAAGCUCAAAUGAUUUAGAAGAAUGUGGAAGAAAGUGCUAUGAUGAGUUAAUAUCUCGGAACCUUAUAGAGCCAGAUCAAGGGUAUAGCAAUCAGCUCAUUUGCAGCAUGCAUGAUGUUGUUCGCUCAUUUGCUCAAUAUAUGAGUAAAGAUGAAGCACUUGUGGCUCAUGACGAAGGCAUUGAUAUUCUGAAGAAGCUUAAUUCGCAAAAGUUUCUUCGGUUGUCUAUUGAUACCAACCAGUUGCAAUCAGGCGCACUUGACUGGAAAUCUUUACAGGAGCAGAAAUCAGUGAGGACAUUACUCUCAACUGUGACGAUAAAGAUGGAGCCUGAUGAUUCAUUGGUUACUUUUUCUAGUCUCCGGAGUCUACAUAUAGAAUCUGCCGACGUGGCUACAUUGGUUAAAACAUUGCAUCAACUCAAGCAUCUGCGGUAUUUGACACUAGUAAAUAGUGAUAUAUCUGUACUUCCAGCGAAUAUUGGCAAGAUGAAACUACUGCAAUUCUUUCAACUUCAUGGAUGUGAAAAGCUGGUGAAUCUUCCUGAUAGCAUUGUGAAGCUUGGCCAGCUGAGGUUACUUAGUCUUCCCAAAAGCAGUAUGAUACCUAGAGGGUUCUCCGGUCUCACAAAUAUGAGGAAACUCCUUGGGUUUCAAGCCCACAUGGAUGGUGAUUGGUGCAGUUUGGAUGAGUUGGGUCCUCUUUCCCAACUCAGACUUCUCGGUUUAUAUCAAUUGGAGAAUGUAUCUGCUGCCUCGUUUGCUGCUAAUGCUAGGCUUGCUGAGAAGAUUCAUCUUAAUGAACUGUUUUUGUACUGCACCAGCAUACUAGGACCUGACGGGUUGGCCAAAGAAAAAGGAAGUGUCUCUGAGGAAGAGCAACACCGAAUCAAGAAGGUGUUUGAUGCACUCUGCCCUCCGCCCAAUGUGGAGAAAAUCGACAUUGAUGGUUAUUUUGGUCAGCAACUCCCGAGUUGGAUGAUGUCCAGGUCAAGGGCGCCCCUCAAUAACUUGAAGUUUCUAUUACUUCGUAACCUGGCUUGUUGCACCCAACUUCCCAGUGGGUUGUGUCAGCUCCCCUACCUGCAGCACCUCCAUGUUGUCGGUGCUCCAUGCAUCAGGCGUAUUGGAACUGAAUUCUUGCAGGCUGUAGGAGCUCCAUUUCCGAGGUUAAACAGGCUGUCCUUAUCCGGAAUGGUGGAAUGGGAGGAGUGGGAGUGGGAGGAGCAAGUACAAGCCAUGCGCCGUUUGGAGACGAUUGAACUCAAUAAUUGCAAACUGAGUCGUUUUCCUCCUGGGCUUGCCUCCAAUGCAAGGGCUUUGAAACAGUUAAGCCUAGAACGUGUCCAGCACCUCAGGUACAUUGAGAACUUUCCUUCUGUUGUCGAGAUUACAGUGCUUGGAAGCCCCCACCUAGAGAGGAUCUCCAAUCUCCCUAAUCUGCAGAAGCUUUACAUCAACAAUUGCCCAAAGUUGAAGGUGGUGAAGAGUAUCCCUGCACUCGAGAGGCUGGUCUUGUGUGAUUACCCCAUGGAAACACUCCCAGAUUACACCCGAGAUGUAAAUCCAAAGCUUUUCAUAUUAUUGUGCAGACCAUGGCUGCUCGCUUCGGUAGCUGCGGGACAACUUGGUGUUGAGUGGGAUAAGUUCAGGCAUGUGAACCACGUGAAGGCAUAUGCACAUGGUGGAAAUAACGGAGGUAAAUGGUAUGUUUUGUACACAAGAGGCAACGACAAGUUGGAUACAAAUAUCAGGCACUCCACCGUAUUUGAAGAAACCUUAUCAUCUUGUAUGGUGGACACACAAGGAUUUGAGUCUAUGUACAAAAUGAGAAGAAGCACCUUCAGUUACAUUUGCAGCUUGGUGAGGUUGCCAUUUUUGGAAGAUAUGAUGGCGAAGGAUCACACCUUUGUUGAUGGGAGAGUGAUGUCUUUGCAAGAUCGAGUAGCCACUGCUCUGAGAAUGUUGAUCUCUGGUGAGCCACCGGUGGUCGUAGGAUCCUCUCUUGGUGUCAACGAGCCGACUGUCUCGCUGGUAACUCAGAGGUUUAUUGAGGCUAUUCAGGAGCGAGCGUUGCACCAUUUGAACUGGCCAUACAAUUUCAGUGCAAUGGAGAAGAUCAAGUGCAGGUUUGACAAGAUCCACGGCUUGCCAAAUUGUUGCGGUGUUGUACAUAGAGAUUACUUUAAAUUUGGAUCACCAAACCUUGACCAUGAAGAGAACGCUGACACACUAAUGCUAGCCGUUGUUGAUCCAGAUAUGAGGUUCACAAAUAUUUGGUUUGGAGCAUCAAGUAGCAUGAACCAGUCAAGUCUUUUGCACGACUCUUGGCUCUUCAAGUCCUGCGAGAAAGGUACUUUGUUGGAUGGUAGCAAGCUGAAGGUAUCAGAUGGCUCGGACAUUGGGGAAUACAUCAUUGGUGAUGCAGGAUACCCUCUUCGUCCAUGGCUCCUCACACCUUAUCGGUUGGAGGAUGACAUCUCAGACUCGAAAGUGGAGUUCAACAAGAGACACUCUGCAGCUACAGCCAUGGCACUGAGGGCACUGGAAAGGUUGAAAGACACGUGGAAGUGUCUACAGGGAGAAGGCUGGCAUCCAAAUAAUCAACGUGAUUUGCGGUGGACAAUCAACACGUGUUGUAGGUUGCAUAACAUAGUGAUAGACAUGGAGGAGGAGGGUGCAGUCAUGCUGAGCAAUCAGGAGAAGAAUUGCAUGGAGCAAGUGAGCCAGUUAUUAGAGGAGGACGCUGUCAAGGUGAGGGAUGUACUGUCCCAGCACUUGGUCGAUUCUAGAGUCCACACAUUCGCUGCAGAGGAGGAACAAGAAGCAUCCGGUCGAAGAGAUGAAAACAAGGAAAAAGAAGCUCUCCAACUACAAACAACGGACCGCGGGAAAUUAUACACAAACAACAAAUUGACAGCCCAAGAAAAUGAAACUUUAUCAUCUUCUAUGGUGGGCACGCAAGGAUUUGAAUCUCUGUACAAAAUGAGAAGAAGUACCUUUAGUUACAUCUGCCGCUUGGUAAAGGUGCCCCUUUCUGAAGAUAUGAUGAUAGGAGGACACACCUUUGUUGAUGGGCGAGUGAUAUCUUUCCAUGAUGGAGUAGCGAUUGCUCUGAGAAUGUUGAGCUCCUGUGAGACACCGGAGGUUGUGGGAUCAUCAUUUGGUGUGGACGGGUCAACGGUUUCGCUGUUAACUCAGAGGUUUGUUAGUGCUAUGGAAGGACGAGCAAGGCACCACAUCAGCUUGCUUGGCUUCGCUCAGGUGGAGAAGAUCAAGCGCAAGUUUGACAAGAUCCAUGGCCUCCCAAACUGCUGCAGUGUUGUACAUACAACUCACAUCAAAUUUGGGUCGCAAAACCAUGAAAAUGAGGAAAAUGAUGGCAUGCUAAUGCAAGCCGUGAUUGAUCCAGAUAUGAGGUUGGCAUUCAUUUUCCUGCGACCGCAAGUAAACCUGAACCAGUCAAGCAUGUUGAACGACUCUUAUCUCUUCGAGUGCUGCGAGAAGGGUGCUUGGCUGAAUGGUAGAAAGCUGAAGGUAUCAUCAGGUGGAGGAUCGGAAGUCAAGGAAUACAUCAUCGGUGAUGCAGGAUACCCUCUUCGUCCUUGGCUCCUCACUCCUUACCAGUUGGAGAAUGGCGUCUCACUCUCAGCCACCAAAGCUGAGUUCAACAGGAGACAUUCUGCAGCUACAGCCGUCGCUGAGAGGGCGAUAGCAAGGUUAGAGGACACAUGGAAGUGCCUGCAGGGAGAAGGGUGGCAUCCAAAUAACCAACUUGAAGCGUACUGGACAGUCGACACGUGCUGCGUAUUGCACAACAUAGUGAUAGACAUGGAGGAGGAUCAAGAGGAGGAGGAAGAGGGGAAGAAUUACAGCAAGCAAGUGCGGCAGUUAGCAGAUGAGGACGCCAUCAGGGUGAGGGAUGCACUGUCCCAACACUUGAUCGAAUGUGGAGGAACCUUAUCAUCCUCUAUUGUGGAUGCACAAGGGUUUGAAUCUGUGUACAAAAUGAGAAGAAGCACCUUCAGUUAUAUCUGCAGCUUGGUGAAGACCCCAUUUUUAGAAGAUAUGAUGGCAAGGAAUCACACCUUUGUUGACGGAAGAGUGCUGUCUUUGCAGGAUGGAGUAGCCAUCGUCCUGAGAAUGCUGAACUCUGGUGAAUCACCUGUUACCGUAGGAUCCUCUCUUGGUGUGAACGAGUCAACUAUCUUGCUGGUAACUUAG